UCUGAUUCUUUAGAAACCUGUUUCUCACUCUCCUUCCAACUCCAGCCUCGUGAGUGCUCCCUUUUGGCAGCUGAGGCCGGCACAGCUCUCGGCAACACAGCUUGUUGUUAGUGCAGAGGUUACUCCUUUUUUCUUUGACAGGAUACCCUUGAACUGCAUGCCAGAGAAGGGGGAUUUAAAAGCAUCCUUUUUCCUCUGUGCAGUUUUCACACCUGCUUUCCUGGAAGACUGAAGUUUGGCCUUUGGGGCUGGAAUGGAAGGGACCCGAUGGGCACCAGAGAUCUCCGUCUGUGUCGCGGUCCUCAGCUACCACCCAGAGCCCCGCAAGAAGGUGGGCUCCACAGGGAGACUUGCAUAACCUCCUCGGGGAGAUCAUGUCAGGUGGCCACAUCAUGGGGACUGCAGGCUCUGCUGGACCUGUCUGCAAGAAUUCCUCAGCCCAGUCCUGCUGAGAACUUUCACACGUGCCUAAAGCUCUUGAACAGGCCAUUUGUGGAGCUGGGCUAAGCUGGGAGAAGUGCCCCUUUCACCCCUGGCAGUGGGUUGAAGCCUCUGUUUUGGCUGAGAGCGAGAGGAACGGGCUGGUGUCUCCUUGGUCCCGAAGAAGUGGGAUUUCAUAUGUCAAAGAGCCACACUGAGAUGAAGGCAAUUGGAAGUAACUGCUCAGAAGAAGAUGCCCAAGAGUAAGUUGCCAUGGAGAUGGAAAGGCUAAACACCACUGUACUCCUGACCUCGAAAGAGGCUGAUUUCUCCACAUGACAGCUGAGGUCGUGGGGGCAUGGUGGGAAGCUCAUCCUGCCGGCUCCAGCUCUGCCUCUAGCCUAUGGAUAAGUAAAGAAUUACUGCUUUACUACUUUAGGUAGUCCAUUAACCUUCACAAGCCUGAACUUUCAUUCAAAUAAUUGCAAAAUAAGUAUAGGUGGUGAAACCUGAACAGAAUCACUGCUAUUUGUAUGCCCUUUGGAAAGUUUAGGGACCCAACCCUUAGUGUGGAUCCACUGGUAUUUUAAACAGUGAGGUAUCUUUCUUAGCUUCUUGCUGUAAUUGGAAAAAGUUAAAGCCCAGAAUUACCAGCAAAACCCAAAAACCAUUCAGUGACUGGCCACCAAAUGAAUGUAAACAAAAUGGUCCUUCAUCAGCAGUGGGGCUUUGUAUUCAGCGGGGAGAUUACCUUCUGUUUGUAACUUAUUACCUUAUGGUGAGUUCUUUUAGCUACAAAUCCAUUCCACAGG
This 1232-nucleotide long non-coding RNA is filed under the name Cyanistes caeruleus (blue tit). RNAcentral describes it as "lncRNA (ENSCCEG00000019390.1)". The record is from RNAcentral. Lineage: Eukaryota; Metazoa; Chordata; Aves; Passeriformes; Paridae.